UACGUAGGGUGCGAGCGUUAAUCGGAAUUACUGGGCGUAAAGCGUGCGCAGGCGGUCUGUUAAGACCGAUGUGAAAUCCCCGGGCUCAACCUGGGAACUGCAUUUGUGACUGUAGAGCUGGAGUGCGGCAGAGGGGGAUGGAAUUCCGCGUGUAGCAGUGAAAUGCGUAGAUAUGCGGAGGAACACCGAUGGCGAAGGCAAUCCCCUGGGCCUGCACUGACGCUCAUGCACGAAAGCGUGGGGAUCAAACAGG
Molecule: ribosomal RNA, 253 nt
Filed under: uncultured bacterium
Lineage: Bacteria
Description: partial 16S ribosomal RNA
Rfam family: Bacterial small subunit ribosomal RNA
Source: RNAcentral